Molecule: ribosomal RNA, 41 nt
Filed under: Blastobotrys proliferans
Lineage: Eukaryota; Fungi; Ascomycota; Dipodascomycetes; Dipodascales; Trichomonascaceae
Description: partial 18S ribosomal RNA
Source: RNAcentral
GGUUGGUUUCUUUUCCUCCGCUUAUUGAUAUGCUUAAGUUC